Molecule: ribosomal RNA, 252 nt
Filed under: uncultured bacterium
Lineage: Bacteria
Description: partial 16S ribosomal RNA
Rfam family: Bacterial small subunit ribosomal RNA
Source: RNAcentral
UACGUAGGUCCCGAGCGUUGUCCGGAUUUAUUGGGCGUAAAGCGAGCGCAGGUGGUUUAUUAAGUCUGGUGUAAAAGGCAGUGGCUCAACCAUUGUAUGCAUUGGAAACUGGUAGACUUGAGUGCAGGAGAGGGAGGCGGAAUUCCGUGUGUAGCGGUGAAAUGCGUAGAUAUACGGAGGAACACCAGUGGCGAAGGCGGCCUGCUGGACAUUAACUGACGCUGAGGCGCGAAAGCGUGGGGAGCAAACAGG